Non-coding RNA from Camelina sativa (false flax), 1627 nucleotides. Lineage: Eukaryota; Viridiplantae; Streptophyta; Magnoliopsida; Brassicales; Brassicaceae. The record is from RefSeq and is a predicted model, not a curated record.
AAUCUAUCAGACCUAACAUAUCACUUAGCCAAAUAUUAGACAUUUUACCUCCCACACUUAAUUUCUAUCUUCAUCUCUCCACACCCAACAUUCAACACUCAUCUUGUUCCAGCCCAGAGAAGAGAGAGAGAGAGAGAGCGAUUUCUUAGAAGAUGUUGUUAGAUUCAAAUCUGGAGCCAUCUAAAAGAUCAUAAAUCCAUAUUCGAGUGGGUCUACACCAACGAAAGCGAGAAAUCCAGAUUCGACUUGGUCUAGUCAUGGUGAAGAUGAGACGAUUAAGAACGGAGAAGAAGAUUGGGUGAAAAGGUUUCAGAGAUUGUAAAGAUGUGGGUUUUUGUGAUUUGAUCUGGUUUGGUAAGAUAUUGUGGUUCUAAGAGGAGUUUCGAUUUUCUCAGAACAAAUGGAGUUGCAGCGGUGGAGACGUGAAGAAGAUCGGAGAUAAUUUCCAGUGUUGGCGUUAGACGGGUAAGCAAAUCGUCGGGUCUAAUUUCACUCUCCCGGAAGCUAUAAUUCAAAUUUGUGGUUUCUAGUUAAGUUGUGCUCGGCUUUUUGUAUUAGAUGCAGCUGAGCUGGAAUAAAAGGGUGUUGAAGAGUCAUCACUUUAAUUCGUGAGUAACUGAGUAUGAAUGAUGUUAGGAUCCCACCUCUGUUUUAACCUCUAUGAUGAGUUUGUGUAUACUUGUGAAAUUUAAUCAAAAUGCUGGAUUCGUUUGCUAAUGUAAAUUGUAGUUGGUGUUUGAGCAAAUUUUAACCUUAAGUCGGAAGCUUUUCCACUCUCAAGGUCCUCGCUUCUUUUUUUCAUUCUUUCAGUGUGAUUGAUGUUGUAUUAAUAAUAUUAUUCUCAUGUAGCAAUUAAAUUUAGUGAUGAAGAGUUGCUACUGAAGCUCAUGAGCUUAUUUAUCUUUUAAUCGAUUCGUAUGAGCUGCUUAAACUUUUUCUGUUGUGUUGUUGUUCUUAUUCUCAUUUUCUUUUUUUUUUUGGUUGAAGAAAGGGGAUAAAAGAGCCAGAAAUGCUAGGACACAAGGUUAGGUUUUUUUGUUGCUAUACUGUGUUACUAAACAAGACCUUGAAACUCUUGGCUAGAGAGUCCGCUUCCUAUCAAUUUGUAUUGCUGCACUUGGUUUGACAUUUACUUAAAUGUGCAGCUUCUAAAAUACUUUCAGCUUAGUGUCUUUUCUUUCUCCAUUGCUAGUUUUAUCUGUGAGUCUUUCUCUCUUUGCCUCUAUGAUCUAGUCCUUAAUUUUGCAGUUGGAAGAUCAUCCCACUUAUUAGAAAAGGUUUUCUGUGGCCCCUUUUAUUUCCUUGUAUCAAUAGAAGAAUGAGGAUGUCCAACGCUUUUGAAGUUGUCAUGUCGUAUUAUCCUUAAAACUUGUAAGGUUCCAAGAUCAAUCUAAAGAAAUCGUAGAGAUCCUAGCCUUGUCCAAGAACAUGAUGAUCUACAGCUCCAUGUACCUUCUAUAUCUCCUCACUUUGGAUGAGUUACAUAUGUACAUGUUCUUAGAAGUUUGUCUCUAUUCUUUUUGGUCAUCUUAAUUUUGUUUUAAUUAAGAUUGGUGGCACUUGAUUUUAUGUAAGACUUGAUUUUAUGUAAGACCUCUUUUGGUUAAUGUAAUAUUAAUUUUAUGUA